Molecule: transfer RNA, 71 nt
Filed under: Urocitellus parryii (Arctic ground squirrel)
Lineage: Eukaryota; Metazoa; Chordata; Mammalia; Rodentia; Sciuridae
Also listed under: 2 other names
Description: Spermophilus parryii (Arctic ground squirrel) tRNA
Rfam family: tRNA
About the family: Transfer RNA (tRNA) molecules are approximately 80 nucleotides in length. Their secondary structure includes four short double-helical elements and three loops (D, anti-codon, and T loops).
Source: Rfam by way of RNAcentral
GGAGUUGUAGCUCAGUGAUAGAGCACUUGCCAAACAAGCAUGAAGCUCUGGGUUCAAUCCCCAGUACUGCA